CAUUAGCACGGUAACACGGAGGGUGCAAGCGUUAAUCGGAAUUACUGGGCGUAAAGCGCACGCAGGCGGUCUGACAAGUCAGAUGUGAAAUCCCCGGGCUUAACCUGGGAACUGCAUUUGAAACUGUCAGGCUGGAGUCUUGUAGAGGGGGGUAGAAUUCCAGGUGUAGCGGUGAAAUGCGUAGAGAUCUGGAGGAAUACCGGUGGCGAAGGCGGCCCCCUGGACAAAGACUGACGCUCAGGUGCGAAAGCGUGGGGAGCAAACAGGAUUAGAUACCCGCGUAGUCCCUGUCUCUUAUACA
RNAcentral lists this ribosomal RNA (301 nucleotides) under uncultured bacterium. Its description in RNAcentral is "partial 16S ribosomal RNA". It matches the Rfam family "Bacterial small subunit ribosomal RNA", at positions 509 to 808 of the family's 1533-position model. The record is from RNAcentral.